RNAcentral lists this ribosomal RNA (497 nucleotides) under uncultured bacterium. Its description in RNAcentral is "partial 16S ribosomal RNA". It matches the Rfam family "Bacterial small subunit ribosomal RNA", at positions 28 to 507 of the family's 1533-position model. The record is from RNAcentral.
GACGAACGCUGGCGGCGUGCCUAAUACAUGCAAGUUGAGCGAUGAAGAUUGGUGCUUGCACCAAUUUGAAGAGCAGCGAACGGGUGAGUAAAGCGUGGGGAAUCUGCCUUUGAGCGGGGGACAACAUUUGGAAACGAAUGCUAAUACCGCAUAACAACUUUAAACAUAAGUUUUAAGUUUGAAAGAUGCAAUUGCAUCACUCAAAGAUGAUCCCGCGUUGUAUUAGCUAGUUGGUGAGGUAAAGGCUCACCAAGGCGAUGAUACAUAGCCGACCUGAGAGGGUGAUCGGCCACAUUGGGACUGAGACACGGCCCAAACUCCUACGGGAGGCAGCAGUAGGGAAUCUUCGGCAAUGGACGAAAGUCUGACCGAGCAACGCCGCGUGAGUGAAGAAGGUUGUCGGAUCGUAAAACUCUGUUGGUAGAGAAGAACGUUGGUGAGAGUGGAAAGCUCAUCAAGUGACGGUAACUACCCAGAAAGGGACGGCUAACUACGUG